RNAcentral lists this long non-coding RNA (1241 nucleotides) under Equus caballus (horse). RNAcentral describes it as "lncRNA (ENSECAG00000047148.1)". The record is from RNAcentral. Lineage: Eukaryota; Metazoa; Chordata; Mammalia; Perissodactyla; Equidae.
CUCAAGCACAUUAGAAACUCAGAAAAGGGCAGGUCUAAUGUGAGACAGGAUAAGCACAAAAGUCUUCAGCUGGCAAAGUACUAUGGCAGACGCUGUGAUUCUUCACUUCUUUCUGGAUUGAACUGCCCUAUUAUGUACACUUGCAGCAAUUCCCAGCAAGGAAUGGAAUCUGUUUCCCCACCUCUUGAGUCUGGACUGGUCCAAUGACCUGAUUUGACGAAAAGAAUGAAGUGGGAGUGACCAUGUGCCAGUUCUGAGCCUAGAUUUCAAGAAACCCACUCUGUUGGAAUCCUCUUGCUGCCAUGUGAGUAAGCCUGUGUAAGCCUGCUGGACAAUGAGAAACACAGAGCCUAGUUGCGGCAUUAACCCAGCCGACAGCCAGAAUAUCCUGCAGCUCACCAAAGAUGCUAAGGGAGUCCAGGAAUGUGAAGCUGCUAAGCAAAGAGGAGAUCUUCAAUAAAUGUUGCAUCAGAAGAAAUAUAAAAACCUGAGAACAAAAGUCUCUCAUCCAUUCGGGGGGUAUCCCCCAUCUUCUAUGCCUCUCAUCUAGAGGAAACACAGCCCACCUGCUUUCAAGCCAGGCACGUCCUUGGGCGUUCUGCUGGGGCUGCGUGUGAACUCAGUGCAGCAUUCCCAAUGACUACAUCUAAUCAGUUCAGCAGCUCGUGGAUUCUGCAGGAUUGAACCAUUUGCUGUGCAAGCCCAAGUGAGAAAUCUGAGAAUCAGAGAACUUGCUAAGAGCACACUACAAGGAAGCCAUGAGAAUGCUCCCCGGUAUCCGCUAUCAAGAGGGAUACAUGUCGUGGCUAACCAGCCCACAUCGAAAGCUCAUCUGAGGUUCGCAUACUUCUUUUCAUUACACCAUUAGCCAACUGUUGACAAAAAAUGGGUCCAAAUUUAAGCUUAAAAAAAAUAUGGUCCUUCCAAAUCUUGAUUGUAUGUGUGGAGAAGAACACGGAUGUUGAGGAAAUGGGGCAGCAAGUAAAAACAACUGUUUGAAGAGUUUUGUUUUAAAAAGAGUGCAACAGGGACCAACCCAGUGGUUAAGUUCACUUCGGUGGCCUGGCGUUCACAGGUUCGGAUACCAAGCACGGACCUACACACCGCUCAUCAAGCCACACUGCGGCAGCAUCCCACAUGCAAAAAACAAAGGAAGAUUGGCACAGAUGUUAGCUCAGCCACAACCUCCCUUACCGAAAGAAAAAAGAAAGGGUGCAAAAAAAAUAAAGCAAAAGGUGGAG